AUUGAACGCUGGCGGCAUGCCUUACACAUGCAAGUCGAACGGUAACAGGUCUUCGGAUGCUGACGAGUGGCGAACGGGUGAGUAAUACAUCGGAACGUGCCUAGUAGUGGGGGAUAACUACUCGAAAGAGUGGCUAAUACCGCAUGAGAUCUACGGAUGAAAGCAGGGGAUCGCAAGACCUUGUGCUACUAGAGCGGCCGAUGGCAGAUUAGGUAGUUGGUGGGAUAAAAGCUUACCAAGCCGACGAUCUGUAGCUGGUCUGAGAGGACGAUCAGCCACACGGGGACUGAGAAACGGCCCAGCCUCCUACGGGAGGCAGCAGUGGGGAAUUUUGGACAAUGGGCGCAAGCCUGAUCCAGCAAUGCCGCGUGCAGGAUGAAGGCCUUCGGGUUGUAAACUGCUUUUGUACGGAACGAAAAGCCCCGGGUUAAUACCCUGGGGUCAUGACGGUACCGUAAGAAUAAGCACCGGCUAACUACGUGCCAGCAGCCGCAGUAA
RNAcentral lists this ribosomal RNA (498 nucleotides) under uncultured bacterium. RNAcentral's name for it is "partial 16S ribosomal RNA". It matches the Rfam family "Bacterial small subunit ribosomal RNA", at positions 30 to 523 of the family's 1533-position model. The record is from RNAcentral.